Molecule: long non-coding RNA, 5001 nt
Organism: Nycticebus coucang (slow loris)
Lineage: Eukaryota; Metazoa; Chordata; Mammalia; Primates; Lorisidae
Exons: 2
Source: RefSeq, a predicted model, not a curated record
AAUGAAUCAUAAAUUUUAUUUCAAAAUGUAAACGUCACUAAACAUGCAUACACGUUAAAACAAUAAAAUUUACAAUUUCGUUAAUUUUUUCUUUUUGCAUAGGACGUCAUUACAAUAUAGAAUCUAUGCCAUACAAAAUACAUACAAAGUUUUAUCCAAGCAAGCCAAGGCCAGACUGCGAACUGUACAACUGUAACACAUCACUGUAGUGAUCCAGGCAGGGAAGAUGAAACAUGGCCUUCGGAAGCAUGGUCGGGUGCUGGUUUAAAAAAAAAAAAAAAAAGGAAAAAGUUCCUAUGGAAAGGAAAACAUGAGCUCCACGGAAAUGGUCUCGGACCCUUAGAUUCUGCCUUGGGCAAACAAUUCCAGAGAAGCUCCACCAACAGCUUUGGAUGGAAAGGAGUGGUCUGUGCAACCUGGGGCAGCUGAGACCCUCGCUGCAUGCCCCCAACACAUCCACACAAGCUUAAUUCCCAGCCACCAAAAGAGCCACAGAAAGCCCAGCUGGACACUGCAGCACAGGAUCUCAGCUGCUGAGCCCUAAGGUCCCCAGCACUGAGUAUGGGGUGGGGCUCUCUAAGCUGAGGCCAGGGAGCAAAGUCUUCACUCGCACCCUCAGAGUCAGGCACCCUGAUCCCGAAUAGACUCUGCGGCUUGGGUAUCUCUGCAGACAUUCAGCUCACACGGCUUCCAAAUGGCCUGUCAAUAGCACAAGGCCUGGGAGCCUGGGGGAAAGCUGUUCCUUCACCUCACCCCCAGGACUUCCUGCCUCUGCCCUCCUCUGCCCGGGGAAUCUGUGACUUGUAGGGCAGGGGACACUACUUCUCUCCCAUCCUGUUUAUUUUUUAAAUAAAAGUAGUAAAGUUUUAAAGCUGUAUGAGAAAGGGAGAGGUUGGGCAGGGCCAGGUGGCCACACUGCAGGUUAUCUUGAUAAAGGAUCAGUAGAAACCAAGAGUGGCCCCUCUUCCCCAGUGGACAGGGGCUCUCACCUCCGGCCACCGUCAACUCCUCUGACUGGUGAGGACGGGACAGCAAGCAGGAGGACAGGGCUUGCCCUAAAGGGGGUCCAGGCAUUUAUCAGUAGUAAGCUGGAUUGUACACCCAAAUUCUGGUUCAAAAUUCCCUGGAAUGUGUCUAGGACAAACCUUCAAAGCCUCAGAAUCAGGAAAAUUAGUCAUAGGACCUGAUUCUUCCUGAGGUGAUCCUGAUCUCAAAAACCAUCAGCUACAUUUCCAUUUUAGUUUUGGAAAAUACGGUUACCAGAAUUGCCUAUGGAAAGUUUGGGCAGUGAAAGAUGUGGAUAAUGUACAAAGCAUUUCUUACUGGUUAUGAUAUAACCAACACAUCAUACCCUUUAAACCUUCUAGCACUGUGUCUUUGAUUACAUGACCUUUAAAUGGUGUUUAAAAAAAAAAAAAAAAGUGACACCUGUCAGAAGUCAAAAUAACCAGGUAGCCUUGUGAACACAGCCACAGCCAGGAGCUCAGACUGCACCUUCCUGUCAGGUGGCACAGCUGAGGUCCUGAACCAGGUUCCCAGGGAGCACUUAGCAAGGGCCAGCCCUCGCUGCCCACCUUCAUCUACACCUCCCCUCACGGGGCUGAGCGGGGGCCCAGGGGGUGGUGAGGCCUGUAGUCACAGGUGGUUCGACCUGGAGGUGGCACCAUGGCGGAUCCUAUACCUACCUGGAUGCAUGACUUGGAAAAAAGUGAAGGGAAGGGGAUUUUGCACCUCAAGUGCUAUGGGUUCUGCGGGACACAGGUAGGCACCUCCAGGACCGUGUUCCUGUCAAGGGCAUCUCUGCCUGCUCCUACACAGCACCCAGCAGGAGAGGCCUCCAGGGCUGCUUGUGGGAGGGGCUGUGUCCAUCUGUGUUUUUCUGUAUGGCUGUAGGAUUCAGUAGGCAUUUGGGGAGCUGAUAACUGUUCCCCUGGUAUGGCUGACGCAAAGAGGGGGGCCUUCUUGUUUGGGACAUAAGCUGAACACCCAGCCCCCUGAUGACUGAGCCCAGAGUCAAUAUUAGGCUUUUGUAUGUAGGGAACUCUCCCUUCACUCAGGCCACCCUGUGGCCUGCUAGAGCUGCAGUCUGCCCCAAAAUGAAGAUUUGAGUUUUCACUAUUAUUUCUACGAGCCCUUGGGUUCCUCAAACCCACUGACACUGGCAAGCAUGGCCAUAGACCACAAAAACCAAAAGCCCUGAAGCAGACCCAGGCUGGGAAGACAUUCCAUUGGUGAGAAGAAAACGCGGCCCAUUUCAGGAGGGCCCUCCCUGUGCGCUGCUUCAGUGGGUGAGGCGUUCUGAAGCCCCACCCUCUUACGCAGGCACCCCUGUUUCAUGAUGAGAUGGAAACCUGCUAGUGAGACACCAUUUGAAUAGAGCCUGAGAUUCAUGGACUUCCCCCCCCCCACCCGCCCUUCAAGUGAGAUGAAUUUAAGCCCCAGGAGGGUCCGGCCAGGAGUGCCCGGCAGGAAGUCCCUCCUGGUGCCCCAUCCCCACUUCCCAGGCCAGGCUUGGCCUAAGGACCGCACCCUGACAUUACCCGAGAACCACUUUGGGAAUGAAGACACACUCAUUUUCCAAAAAUAGCCAACUCCUGCAUAUUUCUGUUUUAAGGCAAUGUUACCCUUCCAUCUGUCAGACGGAACAGCCCUGGGUCAUUUAGAGGAAAAAAUUAAAUUAAGUGCUCUCUUUGGAAACAGCCAACACCCACUUCCCUCCCCCACCCCCACCCCGCUCUAAAACAAACCAGCUCUUUUUUUUUAUUCCAAGAUGACUAGAUUUGGAGUCCUUUCUUUCCCUUGCUAUGUGCAAUGUGGAGUUAGGAGCCCUCCUUCCGACACCGUGGGCAGAUCCAGGUCCCAAGGGCACUGGCUGCUCCCUCCCACAGUGCUUCCCUGGCCUCCAGGGGAAACGCCACUCCUUCUCCCUGCCUCUGGGAAACCUGGAUGGUGAGUGCACCAAAGGACUUUGGAAUAAAAUUCCUGAACCUGGAAUGUGAAUUCCUGAGACAUGAAAUGUAUUCAGAGUGUGGCUUUCUCUGCUUCACACACAAACAACUUUGGGAGGGACCUCACUUUGGAACCAGGCACGAUGAUCUUUGUACCCCGAGCACCCAGGGCUCUCUACUGCCAAGGUCCCUUCUGCAUAUCUGCUCUCUCCCAGACCUAAUGCAAGCCAGGCUGUCUUAGAGCCCCACCCAGUACAGCAGCACAGCACCCUGGGUGGCCAGCUCUACACCUACCAGGGCAGGGGCUGCCCCUGGCCAGCAUCAUGUACCCUCAGCAGGAACUGUGCUCCUCCCAACUCAGUGCCCACUGUGAUCCCAGCUAACACAUGGUAGUUACAGUGGGCACCUGGAGAGACGCAGACGGCACACUGCCACCUGUGUAGCUGGUGUGGACAGAGCGCACCUAUCCACCCUGGAGUCAGCCAGAAAUAGCGGCCAGAGGCUGCGGGUAACAGCUGGACCCAGGUCUCUGGAGUUUCUCUGCACACAUGCCGUGGCAGGGCCGGUGAAAGCAGGAUGGCCACAACCAAGGCACUCUGGGCCCAGGAAGCCCAUCUAUGGCCCUCUGAGGUCCCAAGGGCCAUUUCUCAUCAAAAUGAGUACCCAUCAAAAUAGGUAUCUCUGCAAGUUAUCCCGAGUCUGCCCCGAACUCACCCAUCCCCACCAACACACACACACACAUACACACGCACACACACGUGCGCUCACACACAUACACAUAUAUACACACACAUACUCUGUCCUGGGACCUUGUAUGUACAGGCCCCAACCAAGAGAAGGGAGGGUGAGCCUGGGCUGCAGGCUGGGGUGGACACCCCUGGCGUCUGCAGAGGAGCUGGCUAGAUCAUGGCUUAACUGACUGGGCCCAAGGCUUGAACCCCAGCCCAGCUCUCUGCUCCUCCUCUCCUCUCCGACCAGCAAAAGGCUGGCCGUGGAAACCCUCAGCAAUCCUACUGUGCCACAGGCUGGUUGUGACCCAGAGUCUCCCAGGCAGAGCAGGGAGAUGCAGGAAGGAUAAGGAGGAGGAAUCCAGGGGAUAUGGGGAGGAUAGAAGUUUGCUAAGUCUGUGCUGGGGAUACGCAGGUCUGAGGAAUGUGUUUCCCACAACUUUCCAUCUGGUGUUCCCUGGGUAGGAAACAACGCAAGUUCCCGACAGCGUUCCCAUAUCUGCUGAGACACUCCCACAAAGUUCCAAGUCACAAUGUCCCGGUCUCUUGCUACAGAAGGGUCUCUAAAGUACUGAGCAUGCUGUCACAAGCUCGGCCCUUACAGAGGCCCUCCAAUGAGGCAGCCCCACAGUCUCACCCAUGGUUUCAAACACAGGUGCCUGGGCGGCAGUGCCGGUGCGAGAGAGCUCCAGAACUGGGUGUGCCACCAAAACCUGCUGCCAUCUUUUCAGAAGGCCAGGAUCUCAGCCGGAGAACAUGGCAUGUCAUUGUGAAAGGCUCUGAGUGCCUUCAGUGGGGAGUCAGAGCAGUGGGGCCGGGGCAGGCAUGGCCCAAGCCCCUGCCUGGUGGGGUGGCCGAGCUGUGGUGUGUCCACCUAGGGCUUGUGUCUCUGCUCCCAGCCAUUGGGCAGGAGCAAGGCAGGUGGGAGAGGUGGGGUGCGCCUCCACCCCGCACAGCCUAAGGCAUCUCUCUGAGGGGGCCUAUUUCUCAGAAACAGCUGCUUGUGGCCCAUGGGGCACGAGCCUCAGUGACCAGUCUGCUCCCACCGCUGAGCUGGGCUCCACCUGGCCUGGUGGCCUGCUCCGUCCCCAGCACGUUUCCCACCCGGACAGAAAACUCCAGCGUGCAAAUGUCUGUACAGAGUAAGGCGGCAGGAAGGGCGUCCUCGCUGACCUCGUGGACCGCGUCCAUCCCUGAGAAAGGAGGGUUCGACACCGCUGCAUCGCCACUUUGUGGUUAUGUCUGUUGUGCAAUUUGUGGAUGGUGUGGGGUUUUCUGAAAUUCGUCCUGGUUUUUUUUUUUUUUUUUUUUUUUUUUUUUUUUUU